RNAcentral lists this ribosomal RNA (439 nucleotides) under Miridae gen. n. sp. South Africa 716. Its description in RNAcentral is "partial 16S ribosomal RNA". The stretch from base 302 to 439 matches the Rfam family "Bacterial large subunit ribosomal RNA", at positions 2473 to 2610 of the family's 2925-position model. Lineage: Eukaryota; Metazoa; Arthropoda; Insecta; Hemiptera; Miridae. The record is from RNAcentral.
AUAAUCAUUUGUCUUUUAAUUGAAGUCUGGUAUGAAUGGUUGGAUGAGAAAUUUACUUUCUUUAUUUUAAAAAUAAAAUUUGAUUUCUAGAUUAAAAAGUUUAGUUGUUUAUAUAAGACGAGAAGACCCUAUAGAACUUUACUCUUUUUAAUUAGAUUAUUUUAUUGUAAAUGAUUUUUAUUAUAUUUAAUAAGGGUUUUAUUGGGGUGAUAAAAAAAAUUUUUUAACUUUUUUUAUUUUUUUCAUUUGUUUAUGAUUUUUUGAUCCUUUAUUAUGGAUAAUAAGAUUAAGUUACCUUAGGGAUAACAGCGUUAUUAUUUUAGAGAGUUCAUAUUGAUAAAAUAGUUUGCGACCUCGAUGUUGGAUUAAAAUAAGUGCUGGGGGUAGAAUAUCAGUUAGCUAGGUCUGUUCGACCUUUAAAUUUUUACAUGAUCUGAGU